This 263-nucleotide ribosomal RNA is filed under the name uncultured bacterium. RNAcentral describes it as "partial 16S ribosomal RNA". It matches the Rfam family "Bacterial small subunit ribosomal RNA", at positions 98 to 354 of the family's 1533-position model. The record is from RNAcentral.
CGGCACGGGUGAGUAACACGUGAGUGACCUGCCUUUUAGACUGGAACAACUUACCGAAAGGUGAGCUAAUGCCGGAUGAGUUAUAUAAGUGCAUGUUUAUAUAGGAAAAGUUGGGGAGACCUGACGCUGAAAGAUGGACUCGCGUCCCAUUAGCUAGUUGGUAGGGUAAUGGCCUACCAAGGCGACGAUGGGUAGCCGGCCUGAGAGGGUGGCCGGCCACACUGGGACUGAGACACGGCCCAAACUCCUACGGGAGGCAGCAG